Molecule: ribosomal RNA, 497 nt
Filed under: uncultured bacterium
Lineage: Bacteria
Description: partial 16S ribosomal RNA
Rfam family: Bacterial small subunit ribosomal RNA
Source: RNAcentral
GACGAACGCUGGCGGCGUGCCUAAUACAUGCAAGUUGAGCGCUGAAGGUUGGUACUUGUACCAACUGGAUGAGCAGCGAACGGGUGAGUAACGCGUGGGGAAUCUGCCUUUGAGCGGGGGACAACAUUUGGAAACGAAUGCUAAUACCGCAUAAAAACUUUAAACACAAGUUUUAAGUUUGAAAGAUGCAAUUGCAUCACUCAAAGAUGAUCCCGCGUUGUAUUAGCUAGUUGGUGAGGUAAAGGCUCACCAAGGCGAUGAUACAUAGCCGACCUGAGAGGGUGAUCGGCCACAUUGGGACUGAGAAACGGCCCAAACUCCUACGGGAGGCAGCAGUAGGGAAUCUUCGGCAAUGGACGAAAGUCUGACCGAGCAACGCCGCGUGAGUGAAGAAGGUUUUCGGAUCGUAAAACUCUGUUGGUAGAGAAGAACGUUGGUGAGAGUGGAAAGCUCAUCAAGUGACGGUAACUACCCAGAAGGGGACGGCUAACUACGUG